RNAcentral lists this ribosomal RNA (505 nucleotides) under uncultured bacterium. RNAcentral's name for it is "partial 16S ribosomal RNA". It matches the Rfam family "Bacterial small subunit ribosomal RNA", at positions 28 to 507 of the family's 1533-position model. The record is from RNAcentral.
GACGAACGCUGGCGGCGUGCCUAAUACAUGCAAGUAGAACGCACAGUUUAUACCGUAGCUUGCUACACCAUAGACUGUGAGUUGCGAACGGGUGAGUAACGCGUAGGUAACCUGCCUGGUAGCGGGGGAUAACUAUUGGAAACGAUAGCUAAUACCGCAUAAUAUUAAUUAUUGCAUGAUAAUUAAUUGAAAGGUGCAAUUGCACCACUACCAGAUGGACCUGCGUUGUAUUAGCUAGUAGGUAAGGUAACGGCUCACCUAGGCGACGAUACAUAGCCGACCUGAGAGGGUGAUCGGCCACACUGGGACUGAGACACGGCCCAGACUCCUACGGGAGGCAGCAGUAGGGAAUCUUCGGCAAUAGACGAAAGUCUGACCGAGCAACGCCGCGUGAGUGAAGAAGGUUUUCGGAUCGUAAAGCUCUGUUGUAAGAGAAGAACGGGUGUGAGAGUGGAAAGUUCACACUGUGACGGUAUCUUACCAGAAAGGGACGGCUAACUACGUG